CCUACGGGUGGCAGCAGUGAGGAAUAUUGGUCAAUGGACGAGAGUCUGAACCAGCCAAGUAGCGUGAAGGAUGACUGCCCUAUGGGUUGUAAACUUCUUUUAUAUGGGAAUAAAAUGGUCCACGUGUGGGAUUUUGUCUGUACCGUAUGAAUAAGGAUCGGCUAACUCCGUGCCAUCAGCCGCGGUAAUACGGAGGAUCCGAGCGUUGUCCGGAUUUAUUGGGUUUAAAGGGAGCGUAGGUGGGUUGUUAAGUCAGUUGUGAAAGUUUGCGGCUCAACCGUAAAAGUGCAGUGGAAACUGGCAGUCUUGAGUACAGUAGAGGUGGGCGGAAUUCGAGGUGUAGCGGUGAAAUGCUUAGAUAUAACGAAGAACUCCGGUUGCGAAGGCAGUUCACUGGACUGCAACUGACACUGAGGCUCGAAAGUGUGGGUAUCAAACAGGAUUAGAUACCCGGGUAGUC
Molecule: ribosomal RNA, 460 nt
Filed under: uncultured bacterium
Lineage: Bacteria
Description: partial 16S ribosomal RNA
Rfam family: Bacterial small subunit ribosomal RNA
Source: RNAcentral